UACGUAGGGACCGAGCGUUGUCCGGAAUCAUUGGGCGUAAAGAGCGUGUAGGCGGCUAUUUAAGUCCUGCGUGAAAUCCUGCGGCUCAACCGCAGACGGUCGUGGGAAACUGGAUGGCUAGAGUGCGGGAGAGGAGAGUGGAAUUCCCGGUGUAGCGGUGGAAUGCGCAGAUAUCAGGAGGAACACCAAUGGCGAAGGCAGAUCUCUGGGCCGUAACUGACGCUGAGGAGCGAAAGCAUGGGGAGCGAACAGG
RNAcentral lists this ribosomal RNA (253 nucleotides) under uncultured bacterium. Its description in RNAcentral is "partial 16S ribosomal RNA". It matches the Rfam family "Bacterial small subunit ribosomal RNA", at positions 524 to 776 of the family's 1533-position model. The record is from RNAcentral.